This 529-nucleotide ribosomal RNA is filed under the name uncultured crenarchaeote. RNAcentral's name for it is "bacterial SSU rRNA". It matches the Rfam family "Archaeal small subunit ribosomal RNA", at positions 595 to 1125 of the family's 1478-position model. The record is from RNAcentral. Lineage: Archaea; Thermoproteati; Thermoproteota.
GGAGGCGGGAGAGGUCGACGGUAUUCCCGGGGUAGGGGUGAAAUCCUAUAAUCCCGGGAGGACCACCAGUGGCGAAGGCUGUCGGCUAGAACGCGCUCGACGGUGAGGGACGAAAGCUGGGGGAGCGAACCGGAUUAGAUACCCGGGUAGUCCCAGCUGUAAACGAUGCGGGCUAGGUGUUGAAGUGGCUACGAGCCACUUCAGUGCCGCAGGGAAGCCAUUAAGCCCGCCGCCUGGGGAGUACGGCCGCAAGGCUGAAACUUAAAGGAAUUGGCGGGGGAGCACCACAAGGCGUGAAGCUUGCGGUUCAAUUGGAGUCAACGCCGGGAACCUUACCGGGGGCGACAGCAGAAUGAAGGCCAGAUUGAAGGUCUUGCCGGACAAGCUGAGAGGAGGUGCAUGGCCGUCGCCAGUUCGUGCCGUGAGGUGUCCUGUUAAGUCAGGCAACGAUCGAGACCCGCGCCCCUAGUUGCUACUGAGGAAGUUUCCAAAGGGUACUCUAGGGGGACUGCCGUCGAUAAGGCGGAGG